CGCGCAGGCGGAACACAUAGUCAGACGUGAAGGCCCCGGGCUUAACCUGGGAAUUGCGUUUGAUACUUGUGAUCUGGAGUCUCGGAGAGGGUGGUGGAAUUCCCAGUGUAGAGGUGAAAUUCGUAGAUAUUGGGAAGAACACCAGUGGCGAAGGCGGCCACCUGGACGAGUACUGACGCUGAGGCGCGAAAGCGUGGGGAGCAAACAGGAUUAGAUACCCUGGUAGUCC
RNAcentral lists this ribosomal RNA (229 nucleotides) under uncultured bacterium. RNAcentral describes it as "partial 16S ribosomal RNA". It matches the Rfam family "Bacterial small subunit ribosomal RNA", at positions 568 to 796 of the family's 1533-position model. The record is from RNAcentral.